GCCCCAGUAGCUCAAUGGACAGAGCGCCUGACUUCGGAUCAGACGGUUCCGGGUUCGAAUCCUGGCUGGGGCG
This 73-nucleotide transfer RNA is filed under the name Anaerolineales bacterium. Its description in RNAcentral is "tRNA-Arg". It matches the Rfam family "tRNA". Rfam says of the family: Transfer RNA (tRNA) molecules are approximately 80 nucleotides in length. The record is from RNAcentral. Lineage: Bacteria; Bacillati; Chloroflexota; Anaerolineae; Anaerolineales.